UGUUGGAGUGUAACAUCUCACAUUGAAAGCAUGGAGCUAAAACGGAAAGAAGAAAAGCUCAAAUUGCAAGAAAAAGAAUUAGUUAAACAAGUUAGUUAGUUGUUAUUUCUGUUUUUUCUGUUGGUAGUUAGUCCAGCCUUCUUUCUGUUAUUUUCUGGUAAUUUUCUGUUGGUGUAAUGUAUUAUAAAUACGGCUCAGCCUGAUGUACAAAUUUGAUGGAAUACAUUUUGAUAAUUCUUGCCAUUUUCGGUCUCCUGAUUCUGUUUCUCGACAUGGUAUCAGAGCUAAUACAUUCUGCAAUCUAAAUCAGUUCAUUUCUCUAUUCCCAUCCUGCAGAAUUCUGCUCUGGAGUUCUUGCAUCAAAUACUUGUGGAAUUCUUACAUUUUUCUUGAAUGAUAUCUUGAAAAAUGAGUUCAGAAAAUAA
Molecule: long non-coding RNA, 425 nt
Filed under: Olea europaea (common olive)
Lineage: Eukaryota; Viridiplantae; Streptophyta; Magnoliopsida; Lamiales; Oleaceae
Description: long non-coding RNA (OEUR_LNC004377)
Source: RNAcentral